CCUACGGGGGGCAGCAGUGGGGAAUCUUCCGCAAUGGGCGCAAGCCUGACGGAGCAACGCCGCGUGAGUGAAGAAGGUCUUCGGAUCGUAAAACUCUGUUGACGGGGACGAACGUGCCAAGGGUGAAUAAUCCUUUGCAAUGACGGUACCUGUCGAGGAAGCCACGGCUAACUACGUGCCAGCAGCCGCGGUAAUACGUAGGUGGCGGGCGUUGUCCGGAAUCAUUGGGCGUAAAGGGAGCGCAGGCGGGCAUGUAAGUCAUUCUUAAAAGUUCGGGGCUCAACCCCGUGAUGGGAAAGAAACUAUGUGUCUUGAGGACAGGAGAGGAAAGCGGAAUUCCCAGUGUAGCGGUGAAAUGCGUAGAUAUUGGGAGGAACACCAGUGGCGAAGGCGGCUUUCUGGACUGCAACUGACGCUGAGGCUCGAAAGCCAGGGGAGCGAACGGGAUUAGAUACCCUAGUAGUC
RNAcentral lists this ribosomal RNA (465 nucleotides) under uncultured Selenomonas sp. RNAcentral's name for it is "bacterial SSU rRNA". It matches the Rfam family "Bacterial small subunit ribosomal RNA", at positions 338 to 795 of the family's 1533-position model. Lineage: Bacteria; Bacillati; Bacillota; Negativicutes; Selenomonadales; Selenomonadaceae. The record is from RNAcentral.